CCCAAAACCCCCAAAUUUUGGGUCAAACCCCCCCAAAUCCCCCAAAUUUUGGGGUCCCCCCCAAAUCCCAGCAGCACUUCCGGGUCCAUCCGUGACCUUUAUUGGGGGGGGAGGGGCCUCAGGGGGGACACGGGGGGGACACGGGGGGUCAGAGGUCACUGGGUGGCCACAGGGUGGUCAGCAGUCCGUAGGUGGUCAGUGGGUGGUCAGCAGAAGGUCAGCAGGUGGUCAGAGGGUGGUCAGCAGAAGGUCAGCAGGUGGUCAGAGGGUGGUCAGCAGAAGGUCAGUGGGUGGUCAGUGGCCAGCAGGUGGUCAGAGGUCCAUGGGAGGUCAGCAGAAGGUCAGGAGGUGGUCAGUGGGUGGUCAGCAGAAGGUCAGUGGGUGGUCAGAGGUCCAUGGGUGCUCAGCAGUGGCCAGCAGAUGGUUGGUGGCCAGCAGAUGGUGGCUGGUGGCCAGCAGCUGGUCGGUGGUGGCCAGCGGUGGUUGGUGGUGGCCAGCAGAUGUCAGGGGAUGGUUGGUG
Molecule: long non-coding RNA, 520 nt
Filed under: Lonchura striata (white-rumped munia)
Lineage: Eukaryota; Metazoa; Chordata; Aves; Passeriformes; Estrildidae
Description: domestica (Bengalese finch) lncRNA (ENSLSDG00000006669.1)
Source: RNAcentral